RNAcentral lists this ribosomal RNA (544 nucleotides) under Apis koschevnikovi. RNAcentral describes it as "partial 16S ribosomal RNA". The stretch from base 391 to 544 matches the Rfam family "Bacterial large subunit ribosomal RNA", at positions 2473 to 2626 of the family's 2925-position model. The record is from RNAcentral. Lineage: Eukaryota; Metazoa; Arthropoda; Insecta; Hymenoptera; Apidae.
AAACAUGGCCUAUUGAUUAUAAUUUUAGGUCGAUCUGCUCCAUGAAGUAAAAUUUAAAUAGCUGCAGUAUAUUGACUGUACAAAGGUAGCAUAAUAAAUUGUCUUUUAAUUGAAGAAUUGAAUGAACGAAUUGAUGAAAUAACAACUGUCUCUAUUUUAUUGAAUGAAUUUAAAUUUUUAGUUAAAAUGCUAAAAUUUAAUUAUGGGACGAUAAGACCCUAUAGAAUUUUAUUUAAAUAAUUAUUUAUUUAAAUUAUUUGUAAAUAAAUAAUUAAUUUAAAUUUGAUUGGGAGGAUUGGUAAAUAUAAAUAACUUUAUCUUAUAAAUAAUUUUAAUUAGAAAAUAUUUUUUGAUCUAUAAAUUAUAAUUAAAAGAAUAAAUUACCUUAGGGAUAACAGCGUAAUAUCUUUUGAUAGACCAUAUUGAUAAAGAUGAUUGCGACCUCGAUGUUGAAUUAAGAUAAAAAUUAGACGCAGAAGUUUAAAAAUUUAAGUCUGUUCGACUUUUAAAAUCUUACAUGAUUUGAGUUCAAAUCGACGUAAGU